Molecule: long non-coding RNA, 1397 nt
Organism: Hemicordylus capensis (graceful crag lizard)
Lineage: Eukaryota; Metazoa; Chordata; Lepidosauria; Squamata; Cordylidae
Exons: 3
Source: RefSeq, a predicted model, not a curated record
AGUAUAAGGCAGCUUCCUGUGUCCUGACAUAAUGGGCUGGAUAAAGGAGAAUAUCUCUUUCAAUCCAGCCUUGAGUAACUGUAGUACCUAGUGAUUCUGAUGGUUGCUAUGGCCACCUCAGAAGAGCCGGUCCAGUCCUCUCGGUGAACCUGUCCUUUUAAAAUUUCAAUGGGACUACUUUGAGUAAUUUUCCUCAUCAUGUCAGCUGCUCUGAAGAACUGCGAUGACUGUGACUGAUAUCGGUGAUGAAUCACAGAAUGUAUCCUGACAUCCUGCCCCACCUGAUUUCUGCUACUGGGAAUCUGAUUCCAUAACUUCAUUCCAUUAGCCCACCAUGACACAAUUUCUGCCUGAGUCUCUGAAAAAGAUCCUAUUGAAAGUUUUCCUGUGAUGUCAUGUUAGCAUUCAUUUCAGCGAAGCGCAUCGUUCAAGAUUUGCUGGGAUCCCUUUCGUGAAAUAACAAGAUAUCUGAUGGACUGGCAACAGGAAAGAGACAGCAUCUGGCUUGGAAGGAGGGAUCAGCGUUUCUCAUGCUACCUUUUAACUUGUUCCUACGGCAAGAUGGAUGGGGGCACAAGAAGGUCAGAUGAUCCAUCCCACUUUUAAGCUUCUCGCAGUAGGAACUCUCUGCAGAAUUGGAUUCACCUCCUUACUCUCACACUGGCCAAAACAGAAGGGGAAGCUCUACUAAGCCCUGAGCUGAACUAAGGCAGCAGCCUGUGCAAUGGUCGAUUCACAUUUUUCAGUCCAUAUCUUUUUAGUCUGCUUUCUUCAUGGAAAUUAGUCCUAUGAGAUCAUCUUGCUCUCUCUGUGUGUGUGUGUGUGUGUGUGUGUGUGUGUGUGUGUGUGUCUCCUCCUUACAACUUCACAAUGCCUGGCUUGAUUUGCACCAAAUUUGGUACAGUUGUAGUGCCAUAUAGGGAUACCACAACAGCAUAUUUUGUGAUGAUGUCAUCCACCCCAAUUCAAGAUGGUGAAUCCGUGAACUUUUGAGGUAGAAGUGGGCUAACUUGUGAACUGUCUGACUGAUUGGCACGAAACUAGGUAUACAGGUUAAGAUUAUAGAGGACCUUAAACCCUAAUAUCUCAUAAAUGAAUUCCAGGACCCAUUUCAAGAUGGUGGCUUUGUGUCUCUUUCCCCCAGUAGCUUUGCAAUGCCUGUACAAGUUUGGAUCAAAUUUAGUACAGUUGUAGUGCCCCAUAGGGACAUUUCAAAGUUGUGUUUUAGAAUGACAUCCUUCUCUCAUUGCCAUCCCCCACCUAUGCGCGGUACACCCUGUUCUUACAUAUGAGGCUAUGGUGACAUUGAGGCGGGUCUCAUGAUCAGUGAGACCCACUUUUGCUGAUACUGCGGGGAGAGCGGCCUAAGCCCGCUCUCUCUGCAGAUGAUCGCUGCA